Molecule: long non-coding RNA, 673 nt
Organism: Sciurus carolinensis (gray squirrel)
Lineage: Eukaryota; Metazoa; Chordata; Mammalia; Rodentia; Sciuridae
Exons: 2
Source: RefSeq, a predicted model, not a curated record
CCUCAUCCGAGCAAGACGAGUUCAAAUCCUGACUGCAAAUUGCAAGCUGUGUGGCCCGGGCCAACUCAUUUGAGCUCCGCGAGCUGCUGUGUUGAGCAGAGCUAACAAUAGCCCUGCUUAACAGCCCCGGGGCGGCUGACGCGCUGGGCGCCCGCAGGCAAGGCCCGCCCCAGCCCUCCCGCCCGGCCAGGCAGCGCAGAGGCCCGAGGGCCCGACCGGCUCGCGGCGGCCGCUUAUCAGACCCCGGGCUGGCGCCGGUUACGUAACCCGGCCGCUAAAGCUGUUUUACUUGUCGAUGGAACCCAAAUUAAAAGAGGAAAUUAUUCUCCUGAUGCUCAACUCGCCUAAUCCCCAUCUGUCUCUCCGCUGGUCCCCGGCGCUCGCAUCUAAAGAUUGCCGAGGAUGCCACGCGCAGGAAUCCAUCUUUCAAGCAUGUGUGCCCCAGAGAUCUGCCGAGAGAUGUUAUUGCACCAUUGUGCAUUCAGGAAUAGCAAAAAAGGGGAAACAACGCGUUUCAACAGGGGAGUCAUCAAAUGGAGGGGAACACGGACUUCUUGGAAUAUUGUGUAGCUGAUUUUUAAAAUGGGGGUAGAUCAAGAUGUAGUGAUGUGGAUCAGAUAGUUUAAAUUCUUUUCAAAAAGCAAGCCACGGGAAUAUACAGGAUAUGGUUCCA